Miniopterus natalensis is the source of this 277-nucleotide long non-coding RNA. RefSeq lists it as uncharacterized. The record is from RefSeq and is a predicted model, not a curated record. NCBI's taxonomy places the organism in Eukaryota, Metazoa, Chordata, Mammalia, Chiroptera, Miniopteridae.
UCAAGGUGACCCAAACAACACCGCCUCAAGUGCCCAGGACUUUCGGUGAAUAAAUAGUUUCUAAGGUCUUCUAUUCCCGCUUAAGCUGAGACUCGAGAAGUCAACCCCAAGACCUUUCUCUCCAGCCUCAGGAUAGACUACUAGCCCAGGAGGGAAGAUUCUAUUCACAGCUGGGAAACUGAGGCCUGAGAAGGGAAGCUGACAUGGCUCAAGUCACUCAGUUCCCCUGACACUCACGCCAGAGCCCUCCGAGUGCACCAGAACACGGGGGCACUGG